Molecule: ribosomal RNA, 465 nt
Filed under: Vreelandella stevensii
Lineage: Bacteria; Pseudomonadati; Pseudomonadota; Gammaproteobacteria; Oceanospirillales; Halomonadaceae
Description: partial 16S ribosomal RNA
Rfam family: Bacterial small subunit ribosomal RNA
Source: RNAcentral
CCUACGGGAGGCUGCAGUGUGGAAUAUUGGACAAUGGGGGGAACCCUGAUCCAGCCAUGCCGCGUGUGUGAAGAAGGCCCUCGGGUUGUAAAGCACUUUCAGUGAGGAAGAACGCCUGGUGGUUAAUACCCAUCAGGAAAGACAUCACUCACAGAAGAAGCACCGGCUAACUCCGUGCCAGCAGCCGCGGUAAUACGGAGGGUGCGAGCGUUAAUCGGAAUUACUGGGCGUAAAGCGCGCGUAGGUGGCUUGAUAAGCCGGUUGUGAAAGCCCCGGGCUCAACCUGGGAACGGCAUCCGGAACUGUCAAGCUAGAGUGCAGGAGAGGAAGGUAGAAUUCCCGGUGUAGCGGUGAAAUGCGUAGAGAUCGGGAGGAAUACCAGUGGCGAAGGCGGCCUUCUGGACUGACACUGACACUGAGGUGCGAAAGCGUGGGUAGCAAACAGGAUUAGAUACCCGAGUAGUC